This 497-nucleotide ribosomal RNA is filed under the name uncultured bacterium. RNAcentral describes it as "partial 16S ribosomal RNA". It matches the Rfam family "Bacterial small subunit ribosomal RNA", at positions 28 to 507 of the family's 1533-position model. The record is from RNAcentral.
GAUGAACGCUGGCGGCGUGCCUAAUACAUGCAAGUCGAGCGAACAGACGAGGAGCUUGCUCCUCUGACGUUAGCGGCGGACGGUUGAGUAACACGUGGAUAACCUACCUAUAAGACUGGGAUAACUUCGGGAAACCGGAGCUAAUACCGGAUAAUAUAUUGAACCGCAUGGUUCAAUAGUGAAAGACGGUUUUGCUGUCACUUAUAGAUGGAUCCGCGCUGCAUUAGCUAGUUGGUAAGGUAACGGCUUACCAAGGCAACGAUGCGUAGCCGACCUGAGAGGGUGAUCGGCCACACUGGAACUGAGACACGGUCCAGACUCCUACGGGAGGCAGCAGUAGGGAAUCUUCCGCAAUGGGCGAAAGCCUGACGGAGCAACGCCGCGUGAGUGAUGAAGGUCUUCGGAUCGUAAAACUCUGUUAUUAGGGAAGAACAAAUGUGUAAGUAACUGUGCACAUCUUGACGGUACCUAAUCAGAAAGCCACGGCUAACUACGUG